CAAUAGCGUAUAUUAAAGUUGUUGCGGUUAAAAAGCUCGUAGUUGGAUUUCUGCCGAGGACGACCGGUCCGCCCUCUGGGUGUGUAUCUGGUUUGGCCUGGGCAUCUUCUUGGAGAACGUAGCUGCACUUGACUGUGUGGUGCGGUGUCCAGGACUUUUACUUUGAGGAAAUUAGAGUGUUUCAAGCAGGCACACGCCUUGAAUACAUUAGCAUGGAAUAAUAAGAUAGGACCUCGGUUCUAUUUUGUUGGUUUCUAGAGCUGAGGUAAUGAUUAAUAGGGAUAGUUGGGGGCAUUCGUAUUUAACUGUCAGAGGUGAAAUUCUUGGAUUUAUUAAAGACUAACUUAUGCGAAAGCAUUUGCCAAGGAUGUUUUCAUUAA
Molecule: ribosomal RNA, 380 nt
Filed under: uncultured eukaryote
Lineage: Eukaryota
Description: partial 18S ribosomal RNA
Rfam family: Eukaryotic small subunit ribosomal RNA
Source: RNAcentral